Molecule: ribosomal RNA, 379 nt
Filed under: uncultured cyanobacterium
Lineage: Bacteria; Bacillati; Cyanobacteriota
Description: bacterial SSU rRNA
Rfam family: Bacterial small subunit ribosomal RNA
Source: RNAcentral
CGAAAGCCUGACGGAGCAACGCCGCGUGAGGGAUGAAGGCCUCUGGGCUGUAAACCUCUUUUAUCAAGGAAGAAGAUCUGACGGUACUUGAUGAAUAAGCCACGGCUAAUUCCGUGCCAGCAGCCGCGGUAAUACGGGAGUGGCAAGCGUUAUCCGGAAUUAUUGGGCGUAAAGCGUCCGCAGGCGGUUCUGUAAGUCUGCCGUUAAAGCGUGGAGCUUAACUCCAUUUCGGCGGUGGAAACUGCAGGACUUGAGUGUGGUAGGGGCAGAGGGAAUUCCCGGUGUAGCGGUGAAAUGCGUAGAUAUCGGGAAGAACACCAGUGGCGAAAGCGCUCUGCUGGGCCAUAACUGACGCUCAUGGACGAAAGCCAGGGGAGCG